This is a long non-coding RNA of Syngnathus acus (greater pipefish), 386 nucleotides long. RefSeq lists it as uncharacterized. The transcript is spliced from 3 exons. NCBI's taxonomy places the organism in Eukaryota, Metazoa, Chordata, Actinopteri, Syngnathiformes, Syngnathidae. The record is from RefSeq and is a predicted model, not a curated record.
GCUUCAAAAACAAGUUUGGCGGGGUGGGGGAGUUUCUCCAUAUCACUCCAUUUGUGCUCUUUAACGAGUGUAGCCUUCUGACGGGCGACUUCUUCAAUAUCCGCCGUCAGUGAUUUGAACUUAUUUACCCAUAAAUCUUUAUCCGCUAUGUCGGCCAGUUAAAUUUCUAGAUCAGGCUUACUUACUCCGGUGAAUGCAACUGUGUUCAGCAGGGAUGGGUCGAUGUCCAGCGGUGUGACAGGGAAAGAGCAUACAGGGUUCACAACUUCGCACACAGGUUCGCACGGGUUCACACAAUCUAAAAGCUGCCAGCAGGCCAAAGGGAGCCGCUAUAAGGAGGCUGAAGAGCCACAUGCGGCUCCAGAGCCGCAGGUUGCCGACCCCUG